RNAcentral lists this ribosomal RNA (576 nucleotides) under uncultured bacterium. RNAcentral describes it as "partial 16S ribosomal RNA". It matches the Rfam family "Bacterial small subunit ribosomal RNA", at positions 355 to 923 of the family's 1533-position model. The record is from RNAcentral.
UGGGGAAUUUUGGACAAUGGGGGAAACCCUGAUCCAGCCAUCCCGCGUGUGCGAUGAAGGCCUUCGGGUUGUAAAGCACUUUUGGCAGGAAAGAAACGUCGCGGGUUAAUACCCCGCGAAACUGACGGUACCUGCAGAAUAAGCACCGGCUAACUACGUGCCAGCAGCCGCGGUAAUACGUAGGGUGCAAGCGUUAAUCGGAAUUACUGGGCGUAAAGCGUGCGCAGGCGGUUCGGAAAGAAAGAUGUGAAAUCCCAGAGCUUAACUUUGGAACUGCAUUUUUAACUACCGGGCUAGAGUGUGUCAGAGGGAGGUGGAAUUCCGCGUGUAGCAGUGAAAUGCGUAGAUAUGCGGAGGAACACCGAUGACGAAGGCAGCCUCCUGGGAUAACACUGACGCUCAUGCACGAAAGCGUGGGGAGCAAACAGGAUUAGAUACCCUGGUAGUCCACGCCCUAAACGAUGUCAACUAGCUGUUGGGGCCUUCGGGCCUUGGUAGCGCAGCUAACGCGUGAAGUUGACCGCCCUGGGGAGUACGGUCGCAAGAUUAAAACUCAAAUGAAUUGACGGGGUCGAU